Molecule: ribosomal RNA, 277 nt
Filed under: uncultured bacterium
Lineage: Bacteria
Description: partial 16S ribosomal RNA
Rfam family: Bacterial small subunit ribosomal RNA
Source: RNAcentral
GACGGAGGGGGCUAGCGUUGUUCGGAAUUACUGGGCGUAAAGCGCGCGUAGGCGGCGCAUUAAGUCAGAGGUGAAAGCCCGGGGCUCAACCCCGGAAUUGCCUUUGAGACUGGUGUGCUUGAGUACGGAAGAGGUGAGUGGAAUUCCAGUGUAGAGGUGAAAUUCGUAGAUAUUGGGAAGAACACCAGUGGCGAAAGGCGGCUCACUGGUCCGUAACUGACGCUGAGGUGACGAAAGCGUGGGGAGCAAAACAGGAUUGAGAUACCCGGCGUAAGUC